Long non-coding RNA from Camellia sinensis, 1938 nucleotides. RefSeq lists it as uncharacterized. Lineage: Eukaryota; Viridiplantae; Streptophyta; Magnoliopsida; Ericales; Theaceae. The record is from RefSeq and is a predicted model, not a curated record.
CCCCCCCCCCCUCUCUCUCUCUCAUCCGAUUUUCGGCAUGUUAGAUCUCCGGCGUGUUUAACGGUUUCUUUUCUCUCUCUUUUUUCAUAUCUCUACUAGUAUUACUAUUUUCUUGGUGGUUCUUGGAAGUAAUCUUUCUUUUCCUUUAAACUACUACUAUGUUUUUUGUAAAUCCAAAUAGUCUAGUUUCGUCUGAUUUGUUGAUUUAGUUCAUCUCUACCUAUCAAGAUUUGAUUAAUUACCGGAAAUCUAACACGGGUUUUUUCAUUUCUUGAUUUAUUAUUAGUAUUGUCUUAAUCUGACAUGGGUUGUCUUUCUUCCCCGGAAUCUAACCGUUGGUGAGUCACAAAAUCAGUUUGUGUUUUUCGAUUUUUUGAUUUGCGAAAAACUGAUUUGUUUCUGCAAAACAAAAAGGAGUGUUGUUUUUUUUUUUUUGUUGUAUGAAAAUGAGUUUUUUACAUAGUUGGAUUCUUGUACGGUACCCUAACGACAUCGCUUUACGAUUUGGCCACUGGUAACAGGCCACAUCAGCAUAUCCCCCAUGGCCUUGGCCUUGCUCAGGCUCCAUCUGAAUCUUUAAUUUCUCUAUUAUUUUUAUUCUAUAUAUAUGUACACUUCAAUGUUUUCUGUAAUUUUUUGAGCUCUUGCUUAAAAUGGAUGUGUAUACCUAUUACCUCUCUCUCCUCUCUUUAUACUUUCUCUCUCUUCAUCCUCUUGGUUGAUGUUGUUGCGCAUGGAUUGAUUGACAGUCGUCGUUUGCUGGUGUAGCAUCAUCAAGAUUCACAUUCAAAUGCACGGUGGUCGUUAGUGGUGUGAUAUGAUAUUGUAAUCAAUCUCUCUCUCUCUCUCUGCAAGAGCUUUUUGAAGAUGAGAAUCUUGAUGAUGCUGCAUCGGCAAUAAACGACUACCUACCUAAAUAUAUAUAGGAUGAUCAUUUUGGCCCUGCCUCGCUCACUCAACUCUAUUUGUAUAUGCGAGUUUGACUUGCAACAAAUGUGCUACUUUGCAUUUCAACAAGGAAAAUCAAAGCAAAUUACAGAAUCAGGUACAACUCUAUCAGUGUGAUCGGUUUCUUUAUCCCUAUUAUAUUCCAACAAUAUUGUUCAUAAUAAGAUAAAGAAAAACAAAAGGGCUGGUAUGAGUCACUGUAGAAGGAUUGAUGAAGAUGGGGAUUGGAUAUUCUCUAGAGGAGAAAGAGACAGAUUUGCAGAUGAUGCAUGUGCAAUAAAUUAUUUACUACAGAAAGGCUGGAUUUUUUUGAUAACCGGGUGUUAGGAUCAACUUAUAUUCAAUUCGACCAAUCCCGGAGCCCUAAAGUUAAUAAUAGGGCAAAACUCCAGUAGUCCCAAGGUUUGAAAUGUUUGACCUUUGUAGAAUUCGACCCCGCAACCUCUUGACUGUCACAGGUUCUGGCAUCGACAAAUUGAAUAUACGAUCAAAAUGACACCAAAAAAAAUUGUUAGCAGUUCAUCCAGCAGAGGCCAAGUAAACCGCUACAACAAAUUGGAUAUGGCAGCUGUUGCCAAUCACUGGUGAAAAUUGGUACUGCAGAUUGACGCAUAUAAGAUUAGAAACCCUACAAGCCAAGGGUUUAGGGUAUCAUAUAGGAUGAAGAAAAUGAGGUCAAAUGGAUAAUGUACGAUCAAGAUUCGAUGUGGUAUUGCCUUCUUAAAGUUGUGCUUGAAUAGAUUUGCAUUUAAAAAAGAAAAACAGAAGGAUAAAUGAAGUGGAAUCCAUUUAUUUAUUCCUACUUAAUUUUUAGAGAGAUUGUUUAGAUCCCCAACCCACAUUUUUUUUACAGCCAGUGAUUUGGGGAUUUUGUGCUCUCGUGUAGCUGAUCAUGAUUGCAUUUGUGUUGUAGUGAAGUGUUAAUUACCACCUGUACUUUAUGUUUUAAAUAUUAAUUCAUUUAAAAGUUAUUUAUUUAUUUAUGUAAUA